GGGCGGAAGGUAGGCCAGCAGGCCCUCGGCGCUCCAUGCGCUCGGUGCCGUCGGAUCGAAUCCGGCCCCGCGCA
Molecule: transfer RNA, 74 nt
Filed under: Mycolicibacterium septicum
Lineage: Bacteria; Bacillati; Actinomycetota; Actinomycetes; Mycobacteriales; Mycobacteriaceae
Also listed under: 2 other names
Description: tRNA-Met
Source: RNAcentral